RNAcentral lists this long non-coding RNA (1529 nucleotides) under Salmo salar (Atlantic salmon). RNAcentral's name for it is "lncRNA (ENSSSAG00000102705.1)". Lineage: Eukaryota; Metazoa; Chordata; Actinopteri; Salmoniformes; Salmonidae. The record is from RNAcentral.
GUCAGGAGAUAUGAGGUAGGGUGGACUAUAAGGCCUAAGGUCAGGAGAUAUGAAGGAGGGUAGACUAUAAGGCCUAAGGUCAGGAGAUAUGAAUAAGGGUGGACUAUAAGGCCUAAGGUCAGGAGAUAUGAGGUAGGGUGGACUAUAAGGCCUAAGGUCAGGAGAUAUGAGGUAGGGUGGACUAUACGGUCUCAGUUCAGGAGAUAUGACGUAGGGUGGACUAUACGGUCUAAGGUCAGGAGAUAUGACGUAGGGUGGACUAUAAGGCCUAAGGUUAGGAGAUAUGUCGUAGGGUGGACUAUAAGGCCUAAGGUCAGGAGAUAGACCUUAUAGUCCACCCUACGACAUAUGCCAUCUUCUGACCUUAGGCCUUAUAGUCCACCCUACGACAUAUGCUAAGGUCAGGAGACAUGAGGUAGGGUAGACUAUAAGGCCUAAGGUCAGGAGAUAUGACGUAGGGUGGACUAUAAGGCCUAAGGUCAGGAGUUAUGAGGUAGGGUGGACUAUAAGGCCUAAGGUCAGGAGCUAUAUCGUAGGGUGGACUAUAAGGCCAAAGGUCAGGAGAUAUGACGUAGGGUGGACUAUAAGGCCUAAGGUCAGGAGAUAUGACGUAGGGUGGACUAUAAGGCCUAAGGUCAGGAGAUAUGAGGUAGGGUGGACUAUAAGGCCUAAGGUCAGGAGAUAUGACGUAGGGUGGACUAUAAGGUCUAAGGUCAGGAGAUAAGACGUAGGGUGGACUAUAAGGCCUAAGGUCAGGAGAUAUGAGGUAGGGUGGACUAUAAGGCCUAAGGUCAGGAGGUAGCAUAUGUCGUAGGGUGGACUAUAGAUUUAACUGAAUUUUUACUGAACUAUGCAUGCUUUCACCAAUGAUUGACAUUCAUUUUUAUUUAACCUUUAUUUAACUAGGAAAGUCAGUUAAGAACAAAUUCUUAUUUACAAUGGCGGCCUACAAAAAGGCAAAAGGCCUCCUACGGGGACGGGGGGCUGGGAUUAAAAAAUAUAAAUAAAUGUUAUAAAAAUUUACGACAAAACACACAUCUCGACAAGAGAGACCUAUUAAUGUGUGUGCUGUGACAAAAACACUGCGAAGUGCUCUCCUUCCAGACUCACGUUAAACAUCUCCAAUCCAAAAUUAAAUCUAGAAUUGGCUUCCGAUUUUGCAACAAAGUCUCCUUCACUCGUGCUGCCAAACAUACCCUCGUAAAACUGACUAUCAUACCAAUCCUUGACUUCGGCGAUGUCAUUUACAAAAUAGACUCAAACACUCUGCUCAGGAAAUUGGAUGCAGUCUUCCGUUUUGUCACCAAAGCCCCAUAUACUACCCACCACUGCGAUCUGUAUGAUCUCGUUGGCUGGUCCUCGCUAGAUAUUCGUCGCCAAACCCACUGGCUCCAGGUCAUCUAUAGGUCUUUGUUAGGUAAAGGUCUGCCUUAUCUCAGUUCACUGGUCACAACACCCACCCACCUGCUUUGGCCACAUUUCCUUCCAGUUCUCUGCUGCCAAUGACUGGAACGAAUUGCAAAAAUCAC